AGCUCCAAUAGCGUAUAUUAAAGUUGUUGCAGUUAAAAAGCUCGUAGUUGGAUUUCAGUUUUGAGUGGUCGGCCUAUCUCGAAAGGGAUGUGAGCCUUAGUACCAACUUGAUUCAUCUUUGGAGUGUGCGUGUUUGGCAUUCAUUUGUCGAUCAUGUAUGACUCCAUCGUUUACUGUGAGCAAAUUAGAGUGUUCAAAGCAGGCUUAUGCCGUUGAAUACAUUAGCAUGGAAUAAUAAGAUAGGACCUUAGGCGGUCUAUUUUGUUGGUUUGCACGCCUAGGUAAUGAUUAAUAGGGAUAGUUGGGGGUAUUUGUAUUCAGAUGUCAGAGGUGAAAUUCUUGGAUUUUCGGAAGACAAACUACUGCGAAAGCAUUUACCAAGGAUGUUUUCAUUAAUCAA
RNAcentral lists this ribosomal RNA (400 nucleotides) under phytoplankton environmental sample. RNAcentral describes it as "partial small subunit ribosomal RNA". It matches the Rfam family "Eukaryotic small subunit ribosomal RNA", at positions 587 to 980 of the family's 1831-position model. The record is from RNAcentral.